ACCACCCACAGUGGACUUGGCCCUUCACAUCAACCAAUAACCAAGACAAUCCCUCCAGACAUGCCUACAGGCUCAUGGGAUUGGUCGAGGAGACGGUCCUUCAGCUGAGACUCCCCCAGACAGAUGGGUCAGGUUGCCAGUUGGAGCUGGCUAGGAGAAUUGCUGUGACCAAAACUGAUAUUAAAGCCCACAGAGCAGAGCAGCAGUGGAGGCUGGCUUCGGUCCCGAGACCUCCCAGGAGCUAGCAAAGCACACCUACUCCAAGGCAGUCCACAGCUGUGACCCUGCAAGGCUGGCACACCGUCCCCCGGCACUCCCUGAGGAAAACAGCGACAUCUGUCACUGCUCAAGUCAUCUGUACAGCCUCCUUUGAGGAACACGAGGAGGCCAGGCUGAGACGCUGGCCUACCUUCCUGAGAUGUUUCAGAAGACAUGGCUGCCCGGACCCCACUACAGGCAACAGUCCCCCUCCCUUGGUCUGGGAAGGAAUGUUUUUGAAGAUUGUCUUAGGGCCUGGAGAGAUGGCUCAGGUGUUGAGAGCAUUUGCUGCUGUUCCAGAGGACUUGGGGGUUCAAUUCCCAGCACCCACAGGACAGUUCACAGCGAUCUGUAAUUCCUGUUGCAAGGAUCUAACGCCCUCUUCUGGCCUCCAUGGACACCAGGCCCGCGAGUGACACACUUUCAUGCAUGCAGUCAAACACUCAUAAUUAAAAUAAUAAAUAAAAUCUUUAC
Long non-coding RNA from Peromyscus leucopus (white-footed mouse), 732 nucleotides. RefSeq lists it as uncharacterized. NCBI's taxonomy places the organism in Eukaryota, Metazoa, Chordata, Mammalia, Rodentia, Cricetidae. The transcript is spliced from 3 exons. The record is from RefSeq and is a predicted model, not a curated record.